Long non-coding RNA from Cavia porcellus (domestic guinea pig), 7290 nucleotides. RefSeq lists it as uncharacterized. Lineage: Eukaryota; Metazoa; Chordata; Mammalia; Rodentia; Caviidae. The transcript has 2 exons. The record is from RefSeq and is a predicted model, not a curated record.
GAUCUGCAAGAGGGGACACCGGAAUCCCGCGGUCGGUUUUGGCUUUCUUCCCUGGUCCCGCCUCUGCGCGCGGGCCCCGCCCCAAAGCGCUAACCCCGCCUUACUCGCUGCUCCAGCUCCUGGUCCUCAGUGACUGCCCAGUGAGGCAGGCAGCUCGCAGCCCCUCUGACUUCGCCUUUCCUAAAAAAACUGCACCUUCACCGAUUCUUCCAAAGGCACUCCCUCCUCCGGCUAGGCCCGUCCAUCCGGCGGCCCCGCCUCUCCCUGGCGGCCCUGCUCCGCCCCAGCCGCUCUCACCUGCCACGGUGAGGUUGAUCACCGAGCGGCGGCGUUGACCGGUGCGCGGGUUCGUGGCAAGGCAAGCGUAGGCGCCGGCGUGGCCAGGUUCCACGGUGGGCAGCAGAAGGCGAGGGCCCGCGGGCACUGCGGCCUCUGCGGGAUCCGCUAGGCUCCACGCGAUGUCGGCAGGCGGCCGCGAGGCGGCGCUGCAGCGCAGGGUCACCGUGCUGCCCUUGGUGACGUACUGCGAAGGGGCGGCGUCGCGAUCCGAGGAGACCGUGAUGACCGGGGUGUCCGGGCCGUCUGCGGGGCGAGGGCCGGGGUCACCGGGGUCUCGUCAGCGGCCCGCCAGCCCUACCCCCCACCCUCCAAGCACGCUCCGCACUCACAGAGGACGCUGACAUCUGCCGUGGCCUCCGCGUGGCCGAAGGGGCUGCGCACGCGGCACGUGUACCGGGCGUGGUCACUGCGCACCGGGCGCACCAGGCGCAGCUCUGGGCCCUCGGCGUGGAUCCGGAGCGGCUCUACUCCCUCGGAGUCCGCAGUCUGCAGGACGUGUCCUUCCCGGCUCCAGCUCAGCUCCCCACUGCCAGGCCUCCACCCUACACAGCGCAGCCGGAGCUCAGCCGCCCCCUCUUCAGUCUCUGGGGUCUGGGGCUGCACCGACAGCUGGGGUAGGGGCUCUGGAGGGGAAAACGGGGUCAGGAGCAGUCAGGAAGCCGGCCCCCAGCCCCCAUCCUCUAUACCAGAGAACUUGGACCCCAGCCGCUGCCUCCUGUUCACCCCCACAAGUCUGGGUUCCAUCAUUGUGCCCCUGAAUCUAUGCGGUCAGAGCCCGCUCCUCACGGCCAGCCCUCCACCCUCAGAUUGGGGUCCAGAUGGGCCUCAGCCUUCUCCCUCGGACCCAGGGGAUCGGGUCCCUCUGUUAGUGUUCAUCCCACUUCCCGCUUUCCUCGUCCUCUUAGUCUGUCCGGGAGCUGCUUCCUGUUGGAAGGAAGCCUCUACAGGACAGGUUAGUGGCUUGCCCAGAGGUUUCCAAGCAACCGGCGCUGUGGUCUACUUACCGUACACGCCCACCAUGAACUCCUGAAUUUGCCUAGAGAUGCCACCCCGGAUGACCUCUACCGUGUAGACCCCAGCAUCAUCCAGCUGGGCAGUGGCAAGUUCCAGACCCCCUCGGGCCUGGUCAAAGUGCAGGCGGUCUCGGUGAGCAGGGUCCAGGCUGAUCAGGGGAGCCCCUGGCCCCAGGCCGCCAGCUGCCAGCACCUUGGAGCCCCGGCGCCAGACCACCAUCGGAACAGGGGGGCCCGGUCUGGGCACUGGAUCCAGGGGCAGCCGGAUGGUGGUCCCCACUAGCACAGCGAGUGGACCCCCCACCUGCUGGGGGAAGCUUGCAGCUGGGUGGGUCUCCAAGGAAACUUUGGAUUCGGAGUUUCGAGAAAAGUCUUCAAGGUCUACAUCUUGAGGGGGAAACUUUGACCCUGGGUCCUCAGCAGAUACUUUGGUGUCCCGGAUUUGGGGAGCAGUGUUCGAAGCUGGGGUUUUAACAGAAGAGGAAGGUUCAGGGCCUUUCGCAGGAACUUGAGAAUCUAAGAACUCAGGAAAUGCUUCAGAACCAGGAAUUUUGGAGAAGGUGGGAUCUGAGCUCAAAUGAUGGUGGUCCGCAGAAGUGUUUGGCCAGGGAGGCCCAGACACAUCCUUCGAAUUCAGGGCCUCAGGAAACCAGUCAGAAUCAGGGAUUUCAGCUGAGGCCAUUGGCCCUGGAAACUGAUGUCUGGAGGGAUUGAUGGUGGGCACUUUGGAAGUCUGGCCCUGGGAGGAGAUGCUGAUGGAGUCUGAGGAGAUGGCAGGGGUGAAAUUGGUUUGCUGAAGUCCAGGAGUGGUAAGGAGCCCUGCUCAGAAGACAAGAGGGGAGGGGAGGGCAAGGUGUUGGCAAGGGUGCUGGAAAGGGGGCUGGUGGGAAGGGGUUGAGCAGGGCACUUACCCAGGAGUAGGAAAAGCUCCAGAGCCCACGAGAUGUCCAUGGUGCUGGCCGCACCCGACAGGACACUGGAGAAAGCCAGGACCUGCACCUAUCCCUCCUGGGCAGGACAAGUCCAACAGGACUGGUAGCUUAGCUUCCUGGGCGGAGAAGGCAGCCAGAUCCAGUGGGGAGGUGCUGGGGUCCCCCUACCCACCUGGUGGCUGAGCCACCUACCCCACCCUUCUCAUCUUCUCAGCUGGCCCUGGCUGUGGGAGGCCCAGCCGAAUCUGUCCUCCCCACCCUCGGGGGAAGAUGGGGAGAGAGGAGUCCCAGCUGGAAAGGUGGUAGCCUGUCUGGAAACAAGCUAGGAAAGUUUCCUAGAGGACCAUGAGACCCACUGUUGGAAAGGUCCUCGACUAAUGGCUUCCUCCUCUCUACCCUUUGUCUCUGGUCCGCCCUGUCUGCCCUGCAGCCUCAGAUGUAUCUGUGUCUGAUCCCGCUCCUCCUCUACUCCAGACCCCCCAUGGCUCCCUACUGUCCCCCGACCCAGUCUCAAGUUGUCUCCCACACAGCCAUCUCUCCUGCCACCCAGAGCUGCGUUUCCACGUCCUCAGACCCUCACAAGCUCUGCAUCCCCCUUCACCCAGCAUCUGCCCUCCGACCCAGAUCCAGCCCUUCUCCUGCUUCUCCGUCUCCAGGGGGCUUAGUCAUGUCUGCAGGUGCUGGGGAGCCUUCCUACCUCCUCCCUGCCCUCCUGCCUUCUGAAUUUCUCUGCCCUCCUCUCAUCUGAGUUCCUACUGCCCAGGCUCCAAAAGUCCCUCUAGUGCACCUGAAGGUCACUCUCCAUCAGGGCUCACCCUGCCCUCCUCAGCGCGCCCUGGAAGUAUCCCAGCUCCUCAGUGAACCCCACUUCUCCUCAUGGGUCCAGCAGCUCCCCUUAGGUGCUGACUCCUGGGCUGUCUCUGGGCUCCCUGCCUUCCUGCUGUGUCCCCUCCUGGCCUGUUCACACAGACACAGACACACACACCCGCUCAGUCAUAACUUGUCCUUCAGGUCUCACCUUAUUAAGAACAAUAACAAUAAUUACAGCUUACGUUGUUCCAGGAACCACGCUAAAUUCCUCCUGUGCUAUUAUGUGGGGCUGAACCCUUUCAAACGCCUUCUGAGCUGGGUGCCUUUACUGACCGGCCACUGUGGCUCAGAGAGGCCAAGGGACCUGCAGGAUGUUGCAGAGCCAGAGGAAGAAGCUGGGUGAGUCCCAGGCUGGUGAGGAAGCUCUUCCCUUUCAGUCUGUCCUCAGUCAUCAGCGUGUUGGCAGCAGGGCCACUGUUCAGCGUGGAAUGCUCUGUAACCCUUAGUACACUGAUAAGGUGGGAGUGAAAUGUAUAACCGUGUGUCAUAGCAGUCGCGUUGCCUUUAGUCCCCUCAGAGUCCUGCCCCUCGCUUGAAUGCACAUAUCCUAUCAUUCUUGUGUAAAUCCUCUUUCCUGAGUGUGAUCAAAACUACAGUGAGGGCCACUGCUGUCAUCCAACGGACAUGCGGGCCCAUAAAACCAUUUUGGGGUGUCCUCGUCUGCCAGAUCUGGCACCAAGUGAUUUCUGGCUCUUGGCCAGAAUCAGAACAAUUAUGAAAGGUAAACUUUUUGAGUAGGUGCUGGGCAUCCAGGCAGCCACAAGGGCGACACUCACUGAAAAGGACUUCCAGGACUGCUUCCAAAGCAGCAGGAAUGAUGGAGUGUGUCUGAGAUGAAGGGGAGCGUCCUGAGGGGGCUUCACGGCGCUCCCUUUUCCUCAGAUAACUAUGUUGAACAUGCAGGUGUUGGACCCUCACCUCAGGUGCUCACCAUCUUCUGUGUAUUAAGUGCUGCAGAAAUUCUCAGAAUCCACCGGGAAGGCUUUGGGGUCUGGUGAAGGCUAGAUACUUCUCAUUAAGAAGGGGUAGAGGGUGUGCAGGCUGAUUCAGCUCAGUGGAGUAAUCACCUCCCUGGCAAGCGCAAGGUUGAGUUCCCUCUGUGGUACCAAAAAAAAAAGUCGAACCUAUGAUCCCCCCUUCAAGUCACCCCCAGCGGUGCUGCUGUGCUGCAUGGAGAAGCCUAUACUUGCUCCUGUUCUAAUUCAUGAGCACACAAAGUUAACCGACCACAUUUUGGGAUGGUUUGUUAUACUGCAAAACACGACUAGGCCGGCAUGUAAUCCUAGCACUCAGGAGGCUGAGACAGGAGGAUGGCCAAGAGUUCAAGGCCAACCUAGGCUACAUAGUGAGCUGAAGAACUGUAGGAACUACAUCAAAACACCCUGUCUCAAAAAAAAAAAAAAAAAAAAAAAUAGACCAGCACAUAACAUAUUACAUUCUUUUCUUUCUUUCUUUCUUUUUGAACUAGGAAUUGAACUCAGAACCUUGGAACUAAGCCACAUCCUCAGCCCUUUUUAUAGUUUCUAUAAAUACUUGCUAAGUCACUAAAUUGCCCAGGUUGGGCUUAAACAUGUGAUCCUCCUGCCUCAGCUUCCCAGAGUGCUGGGAUUACAGAUAUGCAACACCACAAAUCAGAUAUGAUUACUAGUUGAUUGGGAAGAUGAGCUGAGGCUGGCUGGGGGCCUCCCCUAGCUAGCUGGGCACUGGUCCAGGUCAGUAGAUUUGAACCCUGGGCCUCAGGACUGGGACCCAGAGUAACAUGAUGGGGCUGGCAGCUGAGGAACCAAAGCUCAGAGAUGGACCCAGCUCACCUGGGCCUCACAGCUGAAGUUGAGAGAUUUGCAGCCAGUCAACCCGACUGCAGCGCUGGGUUCUGCCUGACAAGAGGUUUUGAAUGUCUGUUACCAGCUCCUCUUGUCGGGGUCCCUCUUGGUCCCAAGUGUCAGCAGGGCUCAGGCUCCAGCACCCACUGGCCAGGCCAAAUGAGCCAUCCACAUACCGGAGUGCCUUCCCUCCCAACCCGUCACCCGGUGCCACACCAGCGUCUGUCCCCUCAGUUCAGUCAGUACUUGACUCACCUGGCUCCCCAGCCUCACCCAGCACCAAACUGGGCAUAAGGGGAUUUAAGGAAAUAUUUGUGGAGUGAAUCAAACACAGAACCUCCAAGGAAUUUGGCAAUACAGAUAUUAAGAGAGUCAGAGUUUUAUUGCUGUGUUUCAGGGAAGGGGCUCAAAUUCGCCCGAUCUCCUUCAGCUUGGCCACCAGGUCUUCGGUGUUCUCCACCUUGACGCCUGCCACACGCUGUGGUGGGUCCUCCACGCUGACCACAGUAAGCUUGGAGCUCAUGUCCACGCCCAGGUCGCCAGCCUUGAUCACCUCGACCUUCUUCUUCUUGGCUUUCUGUGUGUGGGGAACCAGAUUCAUGAGGCUGCUGAAGUCCUGCCCACCCAUCCCCACUUUCCCAGCCCCCUCCCCAACCUCCUUCCCAGGGUGCCACAGUGCAGGACCAUCGCAGAACCAGGACAUGUGCAAACUCUCCUAGCGCGGUGCUUGGUACAGACCUUUCCCGUUGGCUGGGAUAGCCCAGGAGGCUCAGCUAUGCCCAGAGCCCUCUUUAUUUAGCAAACCUCAUCAGGAAGCCCAAAAGACCCAUCCUUUGGCAGUAAUGACUCAAUGGACUCAGGACAUUUCCUAUUGGUUAGCCACCCACUGCCUGCUCAUCAUUGGCUGAGAGGACCCACUGAUCCCUCCCUUUUGAUACACUGAGUGUUUUCUAUUGGCUGAAAUGACCCACUGAACUCAGCGGGUCCGAGAUGACCAAAGAACUCUUCCUACUGGCCAACACACUCCACUGGCCCUUCCUUGUUACUCAAGAUGACCUUCAUCGUAACUUCCUAUUGACAAAAACUACCAAGGGAACCUUCCUUGAAACCAAACCGCUGAAUGCAUCUCUUUCCUUGGCCAUGACUGCCCAGGGAGCCUGCCCACUGGCUGGAUCUGCUGCCCGGUAAAGCCUUCCACCUGCUGAAAUGACCAGCCCAGACUAUUAGCCAAGUAGCUCUAAGGACUCUCAGCCCGUGUACUCUGUUGGCCAGUGACCCGCCUGUUCCCUUUGAUGACUGCUGCCUCAGCCAACCUCCUCCCUCCCCCAGCACCCUUCCCUGCAGCAAGGGCGGCAGCAUGCUCACCAUGAUGUUGGGCAAGGUGGCGUAGCGGGGCUCGUUGAGCCGCAGGUCUGCGGUCACCACGGCUGGCAGCUUCAGGCGAAGGGUCUCCAGGCCCCCGUCAAUCUCCCGCUCCACUUUCAACUUGUCCCCCUCCAGUGUCACCUGGGAGGCGAACGUGCCCUGGGGAGGGACAGCGCAGUAGAAGAGCAGGCGGGGUUAAUGCAGGUCAGGCACAGAGCGGUCCUCGGCAAAGACAAGCGGAUAGAGGCUCGAGGGAAGGACACAGAGGCCUGUAAGAUGCAAAAAUUGGCGGGGAGCCAUGGAAAAGGAUCUCAGCCAUCUGGGGGGUGCCUCCCUUUCCCUGAUCGGGCCCCCUAGAGCCCCUCCUUAAGAAGAGUGUUGAAUGAAUGUGCAUUGAGAGUUGACUCCAGUUCUAGGCAGCCAGGUUCUGCACAAUAAGACCUAACUGGACCUGCCCAAUUGGAAUCAGGAUUAGCUGCUCCUUACCAUGGUGACAGCCAGUGUCUGGCAGAUUACACCUCACUAUUCUCUUCCUGUGGGUUGCUCUGUAAGGGCAGGGAAGGCAUGGAUAGGCUGGUUAGGCUGGUACUGUUUUCUUCCUAAUUAGGUCUUAUUUUAGGAGUAACACAGAAUUCACAUGUACUUGUGUCACAUUGUGUCAACUGGAGCAGUUUAGAAGUUUAACUGAGAGACUCCGGAGGGGCCAGGAUUCUUACUGUGUAAAUAUCCUCAUCCUGUGCAAGAGGAGGGCAAGAAGAUUUUGAGUGCUACACUCUCCUAAAGGAAGCCUUGGGCCUGUGUACAAUAUACACAUUGUACCUUUUUCUCCUUUUUGCUCUGGCUGCUGCCUUGUGCUGAAUCACUGUCAGGCCACUCAGCCUUGGAGCCAGCUGAUUAUGGACUGAAACCUCCACAAACAAUGAGCUAAAUAAACCUUUCCUUCCUUCA